GCAAGCAUGGCGGAAUUGGCAGACGCGCUAGGUUCAGGUCCUAGUGGGGUGACCCAUGCAGGUUCAAGUCCUGUUGCUUGCACCA
RNAcentral lists this transfer RNA (85 nucleotides) under Candidatus Caccopulliclostridium gallistercoris. RNAcentral describes it as "tRNA-Leu". It matches the Rfam family "tRNA". From Rfam's summary of the family: Transfer RNA (tRNA) molecules are approximately 80 nucleotides in length. Lineage: Bacteria; Bacillati; Bacillota; Clostridia. The record is from RNAcentral.